UGCAGUCGAGCGGUAGAGAGGUGCUUGCACCUCUUGAGAGCGGCGGACGGGUGAGUAAUACCUAGGAAUCUGCCUGGUAGUGGGGGAUAACGUUCGGAAACGGACGCUAAUACCGCAUACGUCCUACGGGAGAAAGCAGGGGACCUUCGGGCCUUGCGCUAUCAGAUGAGCCUAGGUCGGAUUAGCUAGUUGGUGAGGUAAUGGCUCACCAAGGCUACGAUCCGUAACUGGUCUGAGAGGAUGAUCAGUCACACUGGAACUGAGACACGGUCCAGACUCCUACGGGAGGCAGCAGUGGGGAAUAUUGGACAAUGGGCGAAAGCCUGAUCCAGCCAUGCCGCGUGUGUGAAGAAGGUCUUCGGAUUGUAAAGCACUUUAAGUUGGGAGGAAGGGCAUUAACCUAAUACGUUAGUGCUUUGACGUUACCGACAGAAUAAGCACCGGCUAACUCUGUGCCAGCAGCCGCGGUAAUACAGAGGGUGCAAGCGUUAAUCGGAAUUACUGGGCGUAAAGCGCGCGUAGGUGGUUUGUUAAGUUGAAUGUGAAAUCCCCGGGCUCAACCUGGGAACUGCAUCCAAAACUGGCAAGCUAGAGUAUGGUAGAGGGUAGUGGAAUUUCCUGUGUAGCGGUGAAAUGCGUAGAUAUAGGAAGGAACACCAGUGGCGAAGGCGACUACCUGGACUGAUACUGACACUGAGGUGCGAAAGCGUGGGGAGCAAACAGGAUUAGAUACCCUGGUAGUCCACGCCGUAAACGAUGUCAACUAGCCGUUGGGAACCUUGAGUUCUUAGUGGCGCAGCUACGCAUAAGUUGACCGCCUGGGGAGUACGGCCGCAAGGUUAAACUCAAUGAAUUGACGGGGGCCCGCACAAGCGUGGAGCAUGUGGUUUAAUUCGAAGCAACGCGAGAACCUUACCAGCCUUGACAUCCAUGAACUUUCCAGAGAUGGAUUGGUGCCUUC
Molecule: ribosomal RNA, 961 nt
Filed under: Pseudomonas sp. NCCP-1780
Lineage: Bacteria; Pseudomonadati; Pseudomonadota; Gammaproteobacteria; Pseudomonadales; Pseudomonadaceae
Description: bacterial SSU rRNA
Rfam family: Bacterial small subunit ribosomal RNA
Source: RNAcentral